AAUUCAGAGGGGACAAAUGAUGGAAUUGUUAUUCUUCCUGAACUCAAAAUUUCGAUGUCUUCUUCAUCAUCCUCCUCAGAAUCUUCAAUAGAUUCUAGCUAUGUUGGAAAGGAUGAAUCAAAUCUCAAGUCGAAAGAAGUAUCUGCACCAGAAGUUUCAGGUCAUAAUCCUAGUUCAUCUGCAAUGAACCCUCAAAAUCUAAUUUCGAUGCAAUCAUCUGGAGGCUAUGAUCCUAAUAGGAUU
This 243-nucleotide unclassified non-coding RNA is filed under the name Hevea brasiliensis (rubber tree). The record is from RNAcentral. Lineage: Eukaryota; Viridiplantae; Streptophyta; Magnoliopsida; Malpighiales; Euphorbiaceae.